RNAcentral lists this ribosomal RNA (921 nucleotides) under Aspiculuris africana. RNAcentral's name for it is "eukaryotic LSU rRNA". The stretch from base 588 to 921 matches the Rfam family "Eukaryotic large subunit ribosomal RNA", at positions 1 to 324 of the family's 3401-position model. Lineage: Eukaryota; Metazoa; Nematoda; Chromadorea; Rhabditida; Heteroxynematidae. The record is from RNAcentral.
GUGCGAAUUGCGGACACAUUGAGCACUAAAAUUUCGAACGCACAUUGCGCCAUCGGGUUCAUUCCCCUUGGCACGUCUGGCUGAGGGUCGAAAUCUAAAAUAUACUCUUUGUGUAACAUUGUGUAUAUGUAUUGCAUCGGCCGGCUCAUAUAACAAUACCUAUAGCUGUAGCGAGUAUUACUAGCUAUAGAUGGCUAGUUUGUUAUAGGAGACGCGGUCUGCUAGUAGUAGUGUGUAAUACAUGUAAACGUGUUCAUGUAUGUAAAAGAGUGAUGUCGAUAGACUAUUGUUUUUAGGCGAUAUAAAUGGGCGAGAUUAUUUAUAUCGCUUAAACAACAACAAUACUCUAUUCAGUGUUUGAAAGAGCGACUUAGUCGCAAACAGAAGUUCAAUUGAACAGGUUAGCACAAGCAACAACCACUGCCAUGGUAAAUUGCUUGAAAGCGAAUCUCUAGCAUACAAAGAAGAUAUGCAAGAGUUAGCAAGCGCUUUCGUGCCAGUAAAGCUUUUUACUUUGGCCGCAAGUUAGUGUGGUGUGUUUAUUGUUGCAGCAAGUCGUGUGUGCUAAGCCUAAUGUUCAAUAACAAUGACCUCAGCUCAGUCGUGAUUACCCGCUGAAUUUAAGCAUAUAACUAAGCGGAGGAAAAGAAACUAACGAGGAUUCCCUUAGUAACGGCGAGUGAACAGGGAAAAGCCCAUCGCUGAAUCCCAUAAUCACUGAUUAUCGGGAACUGUAGCGUAUAGGUGUAACUAUUCGGUGGUUUUUGCUUACCCAAAGUUCCCUUGAGUGGGGCUAUAGUCCAUAGAGGGUGCUAGGCCUGUACGGGUAGCAAAAUUACUGAUAUUGGUUGCUCCUUGGAGUCGAGUUGCCUGGGAACGCAGCUCAAAGUAGGUGGUAAACCUCAUCUAAGGCUAAAUAUU